RNAcentral lists this ribosomal RNA (678 nucleotides) under uncultured bacterium. Its description in RNAcentral is "bacterial SSU rRNA". It matches the Rfam family "Bacterial small subunit ribosomal RNA", at positions 140 to 805 of the family's 1533-position model. The record is from RNAcentral.
GGGAUAACAGGAGGAAACUCCUGCUAAUACCGCAUAGCCAUGAGCACCGCAUGGAGCUCAUGCCAAAUAUCCUUUCGGGGAUAGCGCAGGGAUGGACCUAUGGCGCAUUAGCUUGUUGGCGGGACAACGGCCCACCAAGGCAACGAUGCGUAGCCGGCCUGAGAGGGCGGACGGCCACAUUGGGACUGAGACACGGCCCAGACUCCUACGGGAGGCAGCAGUAGGGAAUUUUCGGCAAUGGGGGAAACCCUGACCGAGCAACGCCGCGUGAGCGAAGAAGGCCUUCGGGUCGUAAAGCUCUGUUGUAAAGGAAGAACGGCGCAUACAGGAAAUGGUAUGCGAGUGACGGUACUUUACCAGAAAGCCACGGCUAACUACGUGCCAGCAGCCGCGGUAAUACGUAGGUGGCGAGCGUUAUCCGGAAUCAUUGGGCGUAAAGAGGGAGCAGGCGGCCGCAAGGGUCUGUGGUGAAAGACCGAAGCUAAACUUCGGUAAGCCAUGGAAACCGGGCGGCUAGAGUGCGGAAGAGGAUCGUGGAAUUCCAUGUGUAGCGGUGAAAUGCGUAGAUAUAUGGAGGAACACCAGUGGCGAAGGCGACGGUCUGGGCCGCAACUGACGCUCAUUCCCGAAAGCGUGGGGAGCAAAUAGGAUUAGAUACCCUAGUAGUCCACGCCGUAA